Long non-coding RNA from Callithrix jacchus (white-tufted-ear marmoset), 2383 nucleotides. The record is from Ensembl. NCBI's taxonomy places the organism in Eukaryota, Metazoa, Chordata, Mammalia, Primates, Cebidae.
GCUACCAGCUGCAUGGAGCUACUGAGCCCUUCAAAUGUGGCUAACGUGACUGAGGAGCUUAAUUUUUUUUUUUUUUUUUUUAGGAGUUUCACUCUUGUUGCCCAGGCUGGAGUACAAUGGCGCCAUCUUAGCUCACUGCAACCUCUGCCUUCUGCGUUCAAGCGAUUCUCUUGCCUCAGCCUCCCGAUGGUUACAGCCUUCAGCCAUGAUUGUAAGAUUCCUGAGUCUUCAUCAGAAGCAGAGCAGACGUCCAGCGCCAUGAUUCCGAUACAGCCUGCAGAACUAACUUUCUUCAGUUUGUCUCUCCUGGAAGGAUGAGCACCUCCACACUCAAGGUUUGACUAUAUUGAAACUACGUCAUUGAUCAUCAAAUCACAAGAAACAAGGAGUUUUAGUCUUCACUAGAAGCGCACCUAUGUGACCUUGAGCAAGUGUAUUCAGCCUUUCUUGGUCUCCCUUUCCCCAUCUGUAAAAUGAAUGUGUGGUUUGGUGAUGGCUGGUCUGUGGAUCCAUUGCAUCAGAAUCACCUGGAAAGCUACUGCAAAUGCUAAUUUGCAGGUCCUAGCCCAAUCAUGAAUAUCUUUGCACUUGGGCCAGGGGAUCUGUAGUUUCGUACACACACACACACACACACACACACACACACACACACACAGAGAGAGACACUCUCAGGUGAUUUGGAUGCACAGCAGGGUUUGGGACACAUUGGAUUAAACAAUCUGCCUGCUUGCCUGAGUUCAGAGGCAAAAAAAAAAAAAUGGCCCUUGGAUGUAUCCUUUAAUAGGAGGCCAAGAAACGGGAUCAGCCUCCUUGAGGAAGCAGGUUUGGUGCUUCAGGGAGCUACCAAGACUAUCUUCUUAAGAAGCAAUCACCACUUCCCAGGCUUCUCUUGCAUUCCACCUGGGAAUUCCGUGUAUAAUGCAUAUGUAGCCUACAAAGUCAAAGAACUGACUUUCUGCGCCUUUUAUUUAAAUUGGUUUCAUGGAAAGUGGCUAAAUAGGAGAACUGAGAUAAAUGAAAGUUUUACAAAGAUAUUGGAAUUUAACUAAAUAACAACUUAUCUUCGUUAUAUUUGAAGUUUCUGCACUGAUUACUUUUCAUUCCCUUCUCGGGAGUACAGAAUAAAAAGGAAAUGAUUUCACAUGAUACAAUAUGUUAAUCCACUCAUUUUAUCUGCACUCUGCCUUUUAAGAAACCCUCUUAACUGUAUUCCGAGGGGCAAUAAAUAACAAGGAAAUAUUGGCAAGUUGAUUUUGUCUGUGAUUUCUGCAAUUUUCUGUUUUAAUUGACAGAACCUCAGAGCUGAAAAAAGGGAUCAUAUAAUCAAGACAGAUUAUAGAUCAAACAAUUUUAUUAAAUGGGGAAGCUGAAGAAAACCAAAUUGCAAGCGGACAAUACCAUUAUAUAAAAUUUUCACUCAAUUCAUAAUUAGUCACUCCACAUCGUAAUUCUUGGAGGUAGCAAUUUUUCUGCAUUUUACAGAUUUAAAAACUGAGAUCAAACCCACAAGAUUUCAUACAGUAGGUGAUACAGAAAUUCAGUCCAGGUCCAAGGUCUCUAGUGUCAUGUUCCAGAGAUGAUUUUAGCAGGCUUAUUUAUGAACUAGAAAUAGUGGAUAAAGGUUUAAGGAAUAUACUACACAUCUACUUGAUGUAUGCAGUCAUUAAAAUGGACAAGUACCCUCAUAUACUGCAGAUGGGAGAAUAAAUUGAUCAUUGAGCCAGGUGCAGUGAUUCGUGCCCAUAGUCUGAACUACUUGGGAGGCUGAAGUGGGCAGAUUGCUUGAGCCCAGGAGUAUGAGGCUGCAGUGAGUUCUGAUUGCACUGCUGCAUUCCAGCCUGGGCAACAGAGCAAGACCUCACCUCUUAAAAAGAUAAAAAUAAUUGAUGCAAUCAGUCCAGAAACCGAUUUAGCAAUAUCCAUAAAGUGUCUUUUCAAAGUUCAUACCCUUUGGCCCAAUAAUUCACUCUCUAGGAACUUAUCCUAAGGCAAUGAUCAGAAAUUUGGCAAGAGGCUUAUUUGCAAAACUCUGCAUUAAAACAGUACUUUAAAAAUGAAAAACCUGGAAGGAAACUAAAGGUUUAAAAUUAAUGAGUUAGAUAAGUGAUGGCUUUUUACAUGCUAUAAUAUCACAUAUACACAAUGAAAAGGUGUUUUAGUGGUAUAGGAAACUGCUUUUAAUAUUUUAAGAAAAAAGGCAUGAUCAAAAUAUUUUAUGUCUACUAUGAUCCCAAUAUUGUUGAAAGAAAAAUGUGUGCAUGUGUAAAGAAAGCAGGACUGAAAAGGAAUAAGUUAAAAUAUUUAAAGAGUCUUGAAAAGGAAUGUUAAGGUGGUUCUCUCUCUGUGGUGAAAUUACAGCACGUUCUUUGGUCUCUUCUUCGAG